CUUUGAUGUUUGCUUUUUCCUCCUUCUUUCUUGGAUUCAUAUAAAAGUGUCAAGUUGUUUGUGACUGAGGGAAGCUCAUACUGUGUCCCAGUCGCUUGAACUUGAGGAGCCAGACCUCACCAUUUCAAAAGAAACAGCGGCCUUGUGCUCCAUCUAGGGAGGUCCGUACAUAGACACAACGGUCUCACUUGCUUUACGCACAUAUAAGGAUUUGCAGUUUUUGAAAACAAAUUUAACUAACACCCUUUUCUUGGGGAGGGAUGGCGUCUAUUUUUUCCCCUUCAAAAGUCUUUUCACCCCCCCCCACCGUCCAUUUAUAAGACUUCUUGCAUAGAAGCAGGUGUGGGGGGGUGGGGGAUGUUCCCAGCAGCCCUGUCGUCCUCAGUGGUGAAAGAGGUGGUAAAAUAAGCCCUUUUCUGUCUCCGUAUUCCAGCUUCGAGGAGGAAAGUGCCAAAUUAUCCUGCAGAAUGUUCGAAGACCUGAUUUGACCCCGAAGUCUACACUGAGAAGAAACAGAUGUGAAAAUAAAAGAUGUCCUUUUUCAAAGAAAUCCUGUCUUUUAUCAAGAGGCUUCGACAGAAACCUGUCCCCUGGCUCCCAAGGAUGCGAGCAAGAUAGUGGGAAGGCAGAGGGAGAGGAAGAGAGAAUUUCAAGAAGACUCCCCACUGAGCACAGAGCCCAACUUGGGGCCCUAUCUACAACCCUGAGAUCAUGACCUGAGCCAAAAUCAAAAGUCAGAUACUUAACCGACUGAGCCACCCAGACGCUCUCCUCUUAAUUCUUACAAUGACCCUAUGAUGUAUAAGAGUUUUCAGUCCAAUUAAAAAAAUAUUACCCCCAAAUCCCAUGGCUGGUAAGUCGCAGAGCUUGGAUUCAAAUCCAAGUUCAGUGCUUUCCCCCUUAUUUUAAUGGCUAUUUUGAAUAUUAUUCAAUAAAGGUUAUCUUCACUCUUUAUGCUUAAAAUAUGUGCUGCAUUCUUAAGUGUGUUUCUGAUUAUAUUUCAGGGCCAAAUUAUUUCCAUAGAAAUGUACCUCUAAUUUUAUAAUGAUAUCAGUGGGGAAAUAAAAGAGGCAGUAUGGAAUUUUGCUCUACUGCCAACUCCAUGGGAGGGAUAAAAAAAUUAUAAGCCUAGAACUUGAAGAUGGGAAAAAGUUAGCAAUGUCAUAGCACUAUUGUUAUCAAAGUAAGAUAUGGAAAAGUAGAAAAGCACCUUUAUUUCUAAGGAGAUUUCCAAGGACCCUGAACUUUAUCACCAUACAGUUCAUUGUAAAGUGGAGGCAAUAUAAGACAGGCAACACCCUGUAUCUACAAAAGACUCUCAUUCAUGACUCAAGUCCCAGGGAUAUUGUUAUAAGUGACCUAACUUACAAAGAAAGCACAAUGAGAUUUUAUGAUGAGGAUCUUAUGUCUUUUUUACACAUUCGGUUAUAAAAUAAAGAAACAAUUCAGGUCAUUGUACCCAGUAUUAGACUAAAGGGGUCAGCAACACAUAGUAGGCUGUGUAGCCACGUACAACAACCUUGCACCACUGUUCAGGGCAGGAAGCAAGGAUAAAUUAUGCUGAUAGGUUAUGAAGUGGUAACAUUAUUUGUGCCUUUUCUUUUGGCCAUGGCGCUCAAGUUCCCUAUUACCCGCUCCUUUGAAACAAUUCUACUGAAAAAUGCAAAAUAGCUCAGUCCAUUCAUUUUCCUUAAGUUCCCUUAAAAUAAAACACCAAAGCUGUAAUUUGCUAAUCAUAUUUCAUCAUUCCU
RNAcentral lists this long non-coding RNA (1751 nucleotides) under Canis lupus familiaris (dog). RNAcentral describes it as "lncRNA (ENSCAFG00030008459.1)". Lineage: Eukaryota; Metazoa; Chordata; Mammalia; Carnivora; Canidae. The record is from RNAcentral.